Long non-coding RNA from Oncorhynchus keta (chum salmon), 556 nucleotides. RefSeq lists it as uncharacterized. The record is from RefSeq and is a predicted model, not a curated record. Lineage: Eukaryota; Metazoa; Chordata; Actinopteri; Salmoniformes; Salmonidae. The transcript has 3 exons.
GAUGGGGUGUAGAGAAGAGGAGGAGAUGGGGUGUAGAGAAGAGGAGGAGAAGGUGUGUAGAGAAGAGGAGGAGAUGGGGUGUAGAGAAGAGGAGGAGAUGGGGUGUAGAGAAGAGGAGGAGAUGGGGUGUAGAGAAGAGGAGGAGAUGGGGUGUAGAGAAGAGGAGGAGAAGGUGUGUAGAGAAGAGGAGGAGAUGGGGUGUAGAGAAGAGGAGGAGAUGGGGUGUAGAGAAGAGGAGGAGAUGGGGUGUAGAGAAGAGGAGGAGAUGGGGUGUAGAGAAGAGGAGGAGAUGGGGUGUAGAGAAGAGGAGGAGAUGGGGUGUAGAGAAGAGGAGGAGAAGGUGUGUAGAGAAGAGGAGGAGAUGGGGUGUAGAGAAGAGGAGGAGAUGGAGAGAAUAGGUGGAGAAGGUGUGUAGAGAAGAGGAGGAGAUGAAGAGAAGAGGUGGAGAAGGUGUGUAGAGAAGAGGAGGAGAUGGGGUGUAGAGAAGAGGAGGAGAUGGAGAGAAUAGGUGGAGAAGGUGUGUAGAGAAGAGGAGGAGAUGGGGUGUAGAGAAGAG